UUUACUGAGAGUUUGAUCCUGGCUCAGGACGAACGCUGGCGGCGUGCCUAAUACAUGCAAGUCG
Molecule: ribosomal RNA, 64 nt
Filed under: Heyndrickxia coagulans
Lineage: Bacteria; Bacillati; Bacillota; Bacilli; Caryophanales; Bacillaceae
Description: partial 16S ribosomal RNA
Rfam family: Bacterial small subunit ribosomal RNA
Source: RNAcentral